GGAGAGGUGGCCGAGUGGCUUAAGGCGGCGGUCUUGAAAACCGUUGUGGGGAAACUCACCGGGGGUUCGAAUCCCUCCCUCUCCG
Molecule: transfer RNA, 85 nt
Filed under: Nitrospirota bacterium
Lineage: Bacteria; Pseudomonadati; Nitrospirota
Description: Nitrospirae bacterium (groundwater metagenome) tRNA-Ser
Rfam family: tRNA
About the family: Transfer RNA (tRNA) molecules are approximately 80 nucleotides in length.
Source: RNAcentral